AAUGCAGAUGGAUGGACAGUUGUGCAAGAAGCAACAGCCACGGGUGACCCAGAAAUCCUGAAGGUGGUGUUGGAAGGUAGAGAUGUAGAGCGCUAUUCCUCCCGAGUUGCUGGGAUACCUACACUCUUGGAAAAGCUCAAAGAGGCUCCUGACUUCUACGUGGAAAUGAAGUGGGAAUUUACAAGCUGGGUGCCUUUGGUUUCACGUAUGUGCCCAAGUGACACCUACAAAGUAUACAAGAGUGGCUCCAGUGUGCGUAUAGACACAACACUCCUAGGAUUUGAUCAGACUAGCUGGCAGAGGGGGAAUCGUAGCUAUAUUUUCAAUGGCCAA
Molecule: non-coding RNA, 333 nt
Organism: Penaeus vannamei (Pacific white shrimp)
Lineage: Eukaryota; Metazoa; Arthropoda; Malacostraca; Decapoda; Penaeidae
Source: RefSeq, a predicted model, not a curated record